This 451-nucleotide ribosomal RNA is filed under the name uncultured bacterium. RNAcentral describes it as "partial 16S ribosomal RNA". It matches the Rfam family "Bacterial small subunit ribosomal RNA", at positions 354 to 796 of the family's 1533-position model. The record is from RNAcentral.
GUGGGGAAUAUUGGACAAUGGGGGGAACCCUGAUCCAGCCAUGCCGCGUGUGUGAAGAAGGCCUUUUGGUUGUAAAGCACUUUAAGCGAGGAGGAGGCUACCGAGAUUAAUACUCUUGGAUAGUGGACGUUACUCGCAGAAUAAGCACCGGCUAACUCUGUGCCAGCAGCCGCGGUAAUACAGAGGGUGCGAGCGUUAAUCGGAUUUACUGGGCGUAAAGCGUGCGUAGGCGGCUUUUUAAGUCGGAUGUGAAAUCCCCGAGCUUAACUUGGGAAUUGCAUUCGAUACUGGGAAGCUAGAGUAUGGGAGAGGAUGGUAGAAUUCCAGGUGUAGCGGUGAAAUGCGUAGAGAUCUGGAGGAAUACCGAUGGCGAAGGCAGCCAUCUGGCCUAAUACUGACACUGAGGUGCGAAAGCAUGGGGAGCAAACAGGAUUAGAAACCCGGGUAGUCC